ACUAUUUUGGCAGAUAAGUGCAAUAAAUUUAGAAUUUAUUUAUAUAGAGUUAUAUCUAUAAAUAGUA
This 67-nucleotide transfer RNA is filed under the name Microchironomus tabarui. RNAcentral describes it as "tRNA-Leu". Lineage: Eukaryota; Metazoa; Arthropoda; Insecta; Diptera; Chironomidae. The record is from RNAcentral.